GAUGUCAGUGGUAGGAGAGCGUUCUAAGUGCUGUGAAGUCAGACCGUAAGGACUGGUGGAGCGCUUAGAAGUGAGAAUGCCGGUAUGAGUAGCGAAAGACAAGUGAGAAUCUUGUCCACCGAAUGCCUAAGGUUUCCUGAGGAAGGCUCGUCCGCUCAGGGUUAGUCGGGACCUAAGCCGAGGCUGAAAAGCGUAGGCGAUGGCCAACAGGUUGAUAUUCCUGUACCACCUCCCCGCCGUUUGAGUAAUGGGGGGACGCAGUAGGAUAGGGUAAGCGCGCUGCUGGAUAUGCGCGUUCAAGCAGUUAGGCUGAUGAGUAGGCAAAUCCGCUCAUCAUAAAGGCUGAGCUGUGAUGACGAGGGAAUUAUAGUACCGAAGUUCCUGAUUCCACACUGCCAAGAAAAGCCUCUAGCGAGGCGGGAGGUGCCCGUACCGCAAACCGACACAGGUAGGCGAGGAGAGAAUCCUAAGGUGAUCGAGAGAACUCUCGUUAAGGAACUCGGCAAAAUGACCCCGUAACUUCGGGAGAAGGGGUGCUCUGGUAGGGUGUAUAGCCCGAGAGAGCCGCAGUGAAUAGGCCCAGGCGACUGUUUAGCAAAAACACAGGUCUCUGCGAAGCCGCAAGGCGAAGUAUAGGGGCUGACGCCUGCCCGGUGCUGGAAGGUUAAGAGGAGGGGUUAUCCUUUGGGAGAAGCUCUGAAUCGAAGCCCCAGUAAACGGCGGCCGUAACUAUAACGGUCCUAAGGUAGCGAAAUUCCUUGUCGGGUAAGUUCCGACCCGCACGAAAGGCGUAACGAUCUGGGCACUGUCUCAACGAGAGACUCGGUGAAAUUAUAGUACCUGUGAAGAUGCAGGUUACCCGCGACAGGACGGAAAGACCCCGUGGAGCUUUACUGUAGCCUGAUAUUGAAUUUUGGUACAGCUUGUACAGGAUAGGUAGGAGCCUGAGAAGCCGGAGCGCUAGCUUCGGUGGAGGCGUCGGUGGGAUACUACCCUGGCUGUAUUGAAAUUCUAACCCGCGGCCCUGAUCGGGCCGGGAGACAGUGUCAGGUGGGCAGUUUGACUGGGGCGGUCGCCUCCUAAAAUGUAACGGAGGCGCCCAAAGGUUCCCUCAGAAUGGUUGGAAAUCAUUCGUAGAGUGUAAAGGCACAAGGGAGCUUGACUGCGAGACCUACAAGUCGAGCAGGGACGAAAGUCGGGCUUAGUGAUCCGGUGGUUCCGCAUGGAAGGGCCAUCGCUCAACGGAUAAAAGCUACCCCGGGGAUAACAGGCUUAUCUCCCCCAAGAGUCCACAUCGACGGGGAGGUUUGGCACCUCGAUGUCGGCUCAUCGCAUCCUGGGGCUGUAGUCGGUCCCAAGGGUUGGGCUGUUCGCCCAUUAAAGCGGUACGCGAGCUGGGUUCAGAACGUCGUGAGACAGUUCGGUCCCUAUCCGUCGUGGGCGUAGGAAAUUUGAGAGGAGCUGUCCUUAGUACGAGAGGACCGGGAUGGACACACCGCUGGUGUACCAGUUGUCUUGCCAAAGGCAUCGCUGGGUAGCUAUGUGUGGACGGGAUAAGUGCUGAAAGCAUCUAAGCAUGAAGCCCCCCUCAAGAUGAGAUUUCCCAUAGCGCAAGCUAGUAAGAUCCCUGAAAGAUGAUCAGGUUGAUAGGUCAGAGGUGGAAGCGUGGCGACAUGUGUAGCUGACUGAUACUAAUCGAUCGAGGACUUAACCAA
This 1715-nucleotide ribosomal RNA is filed under the name Priestia megaterium. RNAcentral's name for it is "partial 23S ribosomal RNA". It matches the Rfam family "Bacterial large subunit ribosomal RNA", at positions 1218 to 2925 of the family's 2925-position model. The record is from RNAcentral. RNAcentral also lists the same sequence under 1 other name. Lineage: Bacteria; Bacillati; Bacillota; Bacilli; Caryophanales; Bacillaceae.